Molecule: non-coding RNA, 30 nt
Filed under: Cricetulus griseus (Chinese hamster)
Lineage: Eukaryota; Metazoa; Chordata; Mammalia; Rodentia; Cricetidae
Source: RNAcentral
GCUAAGAAGACUGCUCUCUAAUCACCAAAC